UGGGGAAUUUUUCCGCAAUGGGCGAAAGCCUGACGGAGCAAUGCCGCGUGGAGGUGGAAGGCCUACGGGUCGUCAACUUCUUUUCUCGGAGAAGAAACAAUGACGGUAUCUGAGGAAUAAGCAUCGGCUAACUCUGUGCCAGCAG
Molecule: ribosomal RNA, 145 nt
Filed under: uncultured bacterium
Lineage: Bacteria
Description: partial 16S rRNA
Rfam family: Bacterial small subunit ribosomal RNA
Source: RNAcentral